UCUAAACGAUUACCUAAUUUAUUGUAUUUAAAAAAUUUAAAAAAUUUAAAAACUCAUUUUAUCGUUGAAUAAAACUAAGUAAUAAUAGCUGAUAAAAAAAUAUAAUCUAAAAAAAAAAAUGAUGUGAUGAUAAUCUUUUAAUUAUAAUUAAAUUAAAUAUUAUCUUCGUGUUAUUUUUAUAAUUCAGAUAAUGCUAUAACGUUAACAAUAUAUCAACAUACGAAAGGAGAAAAGUGCAAUGCUUUCAUUAUUUAUUUUGGAAGAUUUAAAAAUGUCUAUUGAUGAUAUACGAUACCUUUACCAGUUAAGCUCUCUAUUUGCUGCAACACAAUUUUUCCACUGGAUUAAUUAGAAGUAAGACAAUCAUCGUCACAACACACACAACAUUCAUGCACGCAGGCACAGAAGCUCUCAUUCACAGUGGCGUUAAAGGACUUGUCGCAUAAUGUUUUCAGACAUACGGACACUAACGUUACGUGUACGGUACCAACAUACAUAAUAGUAUUUUAUAACUUUACUUUCCAUACCACAUCGGUUGAAAAAGGAAUUGACUCCGAUGUUUUGCUUAGUCGGUAAACAAAAAACAUACUCGUAUAUUGAACAAUAUGCAAAGAAAUAUUUCACAUUAUAGAUAGACGUAAACGUAUGGGGAAGUCUGUGAAUCAAGAAAUCUGAGUAGUUUUAACUCUUUCACCCCUCAUCUGAAGUAACCCAAAAC
Aphis gossypii (cotton aphid) is the source of this 718-nucleotide long non-coding RNA. RefSeq lists it as uncharacterized. The transcript is spliced from 6 exons. Lineage: Eukaryota; Metazoa; Arthropoda; Insecta; Hemiptera; Aphididae. The record is from RefSeq and is a predicted model, not a curated record.